AUUUUUAUCCAACUCGUAGUGCUCCGGAUUGAAGGUUUCCCUCACCGACAUGGUCGUUUACAAAUUCAGGCUAUAGAAGGAGAAUAAGGAAAGAUGACCAUAAUGAUCAGGCAGAAGUUUGGAUAAGCAAAGACUUAGGUUGGAAGUUGGGAGGAGCCAGAAUAGUAGAAUUAUCAAGUUUCAAGGAUGAUGGACACGGAGAUGAUGAAUGAAUUCAAAAGGAAAUUGAAUGGGCACUUGAGGGAAAUAAACUUGCUGGAAUGUUGGAAUAGAGCAGGGAGUAACUGGAUUGCUCCACAGAGAGAUGGCUUGGACUCGAAGGGCUAAAUGGCAGCCUCCUGUUUCAUAAUGGCUCCAGCUGUGUUGUAACUAUGUGAGAAUGGUAGCUUCAGACUACGUGAUGCAAAUAGAUACUGCUUCAAAAAAUAAUGAUCAAUUCCUUUAAUGAUGC
Long non-coding RNA from Carcharodon carcharias (great white shark), 451 nucleotides. RefSeq lists it as uncharacterized. Lineage: Eukaryota; Metazoa; Chordata; Chondrichthyes; Lamniformes; Lamnidae. The record is from RefSeq and is a predicted model, not a curated record. The transcript has 3 exons.